AGGUCUUUAGUAUAGUGGCGAUUAUGCUAGGCUCCAAACCUAGUGACGGGUGUUCGAUUCACCCAAGGCCUG
RNAcentral lists this transfer RNA (72 nucleotides) under Yersinia phage phiR1-RT. It matches the Rfam family "tRNA". From Rfam's summary of the family: Transfer RNA (tRNA) molecules are approximately 80 nucleotides in length. Their secondary structure includes four short double-helical elements and three loops (D, anti-codon, and T loops). The record is from Rfam by way of RNAcentral. Lineage: Duplodnaviria; Heunggongvirae; Uroviricota; Caudoviricetes; Pantevenvirales; Straboviridae.